Molecule: ribosomal RNA, 539 nt
Filed under: Staphylococcus aureus
Lineage: Bacteria; Bacillati; Bacillota; Bacilli; Caryophanales; Staphylococcaceae
Description: bacterial SSU rRNA
Rfam family: Bacterial small subunit ribosomal RNA
Source: RNAcentral
AGGAUGAACGCUGGCGGCGUGCCUAAUACAUGCAAGUCGAGCGAACGGACGAGAAGCUUGCUUCUCUGAUGUUAGCGGCGGACGGGUGAGUAACACGUGGAUAACCUACCUAUAAGACUGGGAUAACUUCGGGAAACCGGAGCUAAUACCGGAUAAUAUUUUGAACCGCAUGGUUCAAAAGUGAAAGACGGUCUUGCUGUCACUUAUAGAUGGAUCCGCGCUGCAUUAGCUAGUUGGUAAGGUAACGGCUUACCAAGGCAACGAUGCAUAGCCGACCUGAGAGGGUGAUCGGCCACACUGGAACUGAGACACGGUCCAGACUCCUACGGGAGGCAGCAGUAGGGAAUCUUCCGCAAUGGGCGAAAGCCUGACGGAGCAACGCCGCGUGAGUGAUGAAGGUCUUCGGAUCGUAAAACUCUGUUAUUAGGGAAGAACAUAUGUGUAAGUAACUGUGCACAUCUUGACGGUACCUAAUCAGAAAGCCACGGCUAACUACGUGCCAGCAGCCGCGGUAAUACGUAGGUGGCAAGCGUUAUCCG